GACGAACGCUGGCGGCGUGCUUAACACAUGCAAGUCGAACGGAAAGGCCCUGCUUUUGUGGGGUGCUCGAGUGGCGAACGGGUGAGUAACACGUGAGUAACCUGCCCUUGACUUUGGGAUAACUUCAGGAAACUGGGGCUAAUACCGGAUAGGAGCUCCUGCUGCAUGGUGGGGGUUGGAAAGUUUCGGCGGUUGGGGAUGGACUCGCGGCUUAUCAGCUUGUUGGUGGGGUAGUGGCUUACCAAGGCUUUGACGGGUAGCCGGCCUGAGAGGGUGACCGGCCACAUUGGGACUGAGAUACGGACCAGUCUCCUACGGGAGGCAGCAGUGGGGAAUAUUGCACAAUGGCCGGAAGCCUGAGGCAGCAACGCCGCGUGCGGGAUGACGGCCUUCGGGUUGUAAACCGCUUUCGCCUGUGACGAAGCGUGAGUGACGGUAAUGGGUAAAGAAGCACCGGCUAACUACGUG
RNAcentral lists this ribosomal RNA (468 nucleotides) under uncultured bacterium. Its description in RNAcentral is "partial 16S ribosomal RNA". It matches the Rfam family "Bacterial small subunit ribosomal RNA", at positions 28 to 507 of the family's 1533-position model. The record is from RNAcentral.